This 498-nucleotide long non-coding RNA is filed under the name Pan troglodytes (chimpanzee). RNAcentral's name for it is "long non-coding RNA NONPTRT002397". The record is from RNAcentral. Lineage: Eukaryota; Metazoa; Chordata; Mammalia; Primates; Hominidae.
AACAAACGAGCAAAUCAAAAACUCGUGUCAGUAUCAUAGAUUUAAAUGCAAAACUUAAAACAACAAAACUUUUUAAAGAAAACAUAGAAAACUUUUGUGACCUAGGCAUAGGAAUAUAUUUCUUAGGAUACAAAAAGCAUGAAACAUAAAAUUUUAAAAUUGAUAAAUUGAACUUAAAUGAAAAUUAAAAAUUUUUGGUCUUUGAAUGACACUAUACAGAAAGUAAAAAGACAGACUGCAGAAUUGGAGAAAAUAUUUUUAAAAACACCUAUCUGACAAAGGGUUUCCAUCCGCAGUAUAUAACAAACUCUCAAAAACCAAUAAGAAGAAAAUAACCCACCAAAAAUUGGCAAAAAAUGUGAGCAGAUAUUUAAUCAAAAAAGGAACACAAAUGGCCAAGAUGCACAUGAAAGCAUGUUCUAUCUUACUAGUCAAUAGAAACAUGCAAGUUAAAACCACAUUGAAAUAUAACUAUAUACCUAUUAGAAUGGCUAAAAU